This 274-nucleotide ribosomal RNA is filed under the name uncultured bacterium. Its description in RNAcentral is "partial 16S ribosomal RNA". It matches the Rfam family "Bacterial small subunit ribosomal RNA", at positions 523 to 796 of the family's 1533-position model. The record is from RNAcentral.
AUACGGAGGGGGUUAGCGUUGUUCGGAAUUACUGGGCGUAAAGCGCGCGUAGGCGGACUGGAAAGUUGGGGGUGAAAUCCCAGGGCUCAACCCUGGAACUGCCUCCAAAACUAUCAGUCUAGAGUUCGAGAGAGGUGAGUGGAAUUCCGAGUGUAGAGGUGAAAUUCGUAGAUAUUCGGAGGAACACCAGUGGCGAAGGCGGCUCACUGGCUCGAUACUGACGCUGAGGUGCGAAAGUGUGGGGAGCAAACAGGAUUAGAAACCCUAGUAGUCC